Molecule: long non-coding RNA, 755 nt
Filed under: Phoenix dactylifera (date palm)
Lineage: Eukaryota; Viridiplantae; Streptophyta; Magnoliopsida; Arecales; Arecaceae
Description: long non-coding RNA (PDAC_LNC018530)
Source: RNAcentral
AAUAGGUCUAGAACUCGAGAAUCUGGGAAGUAUUAUUCAAAUUUAGGUUUUUUUUUCCUCAGUUGUUGAUUAGUUUGUGUGUGCUAGGGAAGUAUUUUUGUCAGCAAUGGAGAUUUGUUACUUAUAUUGUUGAGGAUGGAGCCGAAUUCUUUGUUCUUUGUUUGUAUCUUUAUGUUUUUGUUUUUGUUAUUUUUGGCGGUGGGGUUUGCUUUUAAGGUUGUUGUCUCCAAGAAGAGAAAGAGUGAGUGCGAGAGUCAGAGAGAGGAUAGAAUCAUUUUGAGGAUGAAUGAAGCUUUUGGGUAUUUCAGAUUUCUUUCGAGGAUUUGAUGUUUGUUUCUGCGGUGUUUUACCCUUAGUUUCGUAAACAUCUAACGAAGAUAUGAUGAUUUUACUGGAAAUUUUCUUGCAUUAAUAGAAUUUUGUGUAUUUAUCUAGGUUAUGCGGGCGUCUAAUAAAUUGCUUUAGAGGUUCCUUACUUCUAAAUAUGUCUUGAUAAACUUAUUAUUAGUAAAAAAAUGAUUUUUUUUUAUAUUUUUCAUUAACAAAGUGACCGCUCUUCUUGCAGGAAUAAGCAUUAGAAUUGGUACGGUAUUGGAGGGGCGUUUUUCUUGAAUUCGAAAUUCCAAAAGCUUUCACGAUUUUGUUGGUGAGUUUGGAGUUUGUGUGGUGUAUCCGUAGAGAUUUGCGUCUCUGGGGUUUAGGGAUUCAUUAGAGGUAAAAUGGAGAAGUCUCUGUUGUCCAUCCUGAUGGAAACC